GAUCAAUAGCAGCACUGUAGGGACGUUGUGUUCUUAAGCGCUUGUCAGAAACAAUUAAUGCUUCAUCAGGCCCAGGAGAUGAGAACAUGCUCUUGUUCCUGAAACCACAGCGUCCUGUCCUGCAUGUAAUAAUUUGCAAUAUGUUGUCUCCGUCACUUGGAAGGAGUCAUUUUUCCGCAGCAUCAGUGCUUCCCCUGGGAAUUCCUUUCCUUCAGGUGCCCAUUUUACAAGUUUGGAAAAGUCUAAUUCAGGAAAUGUCUCCUAAUGUGGUUCUUGGUAAACACUGUAUUCUUUCAGUCUAAUACAGCUAAGAUUAAGAUGAUUU
Molecule: long non-coding RNA, 325 nt
Filed under: Homo sapiens (human)
Lineage: Eukaryota; Metazoa; Chordata; Mammalia; Primates; Hominidae
Description: HSALNT0365906
Source: RNAcentral